Molecule: long non-coding RNA, 1212 nt
Organism: Leucoraja erinaceus (little skate)
Lineage: Eukaryota; Metazoa; Chordata; Chondrichthyes; Rajiformes; Rajidae
Exons: 3
Source: RefSeq, a predicted model, not a curated record
GGGAGAGCUCCAUCGCUUUUCUUCAAAAUAAUAUCAAGACAUGCACCUCAGAAGGUAUACAAGAUUUCAGUUUAACAUCCCAUCUGAAAGAUAAGUAAAGGCUAACAAAGGGAUUACUGGAAAUGCUGACCCUCUUUAGAUGAUCUCCUGGAGAUUACUUGAUUGUCUUAAAGUCAGAUAAUCAUUUUUAAGACUUUUUACCAAUUUAGCCAUAGCGUCCCAACUUUUCCAUGAAAUUGCUUGGCUUGAGGGGUAAGUUGGUGGUAUAUGUGGCUGCCUUAUAUACCACCUGGAAUGCCUUCAUUGAAGAAAAGGCCAUGUAUGCUUUUUUUCGUUUGCUUUGAUUAAAAUUGUUGCAGUGUGAAUGAAUCAAAAGUCAGACAUAAGUCAUACAACGAGGAAAUAAAGUAACAGAUUAGGUUAGGAUAAAAUCUUGUUAACAGUAAAAAAAAAUCACAAAUAUAAUUCAAACUUGUCAGUGUGAAGAACAUAAAACACAUAAAAGUAUAGCACUGAAGGCUCUGGAGGCCGUCAAUGAUUAUUUUUAAGGCAGAAAUAGAUUCUUGAUUAGUAUGAGUGUCGGGUUACACGGAGAAGGCAAAAGAAUGAGGUUGAGGGGGAGAGAUAAGUUCAUAAGUUCAUUUAUUGUCACAUACACAAGUUGGUGUAGCGAAAUUCACUGGCCAGGUCAGUCAUACAAUUUAAAAAAGCAACAGACUCAGCAAACACAUUUUAACAUAAACAUCCAUCACUCUGUGACUCCUACACAUUCCUCACUGUGAUGGAAGGCGAAAAUAAAGUUCCAAGUCCUUCUCAUGUUCUUCCUUGGUCGGGGGCUGCUGCGUUGACGAGACUGUCUUGACUCCCGCAGCCGGCGGCGUUUGGGCCCUCUGCGUCGAGGCGUUCAGCUCCCGCAUCGGGGGGGAUAUCAGCUCCUCCGCGCCAGGCGAUCAAACCUCGCGUUGGGGCAUGGACGAACGUACUGCGGCAUUGGAGCUCCCGACUUGCCUCUCCCGAGACUGUGAGCCCUUGAUGAAAGCUCUAAUGGAAGCUUGAAUGUGUGCAAAGUCUUCGGUGAAAGGAUGUGGAGUUGACAUUACUGAUGGGAAAUGAAAACUUGAGAACGGGAGGAGAAACGGAAUCAUCCACCUUCCCGUGGCAUUUAGAGUCCUGGUAUUGUUUGUUUAACGCCACAUGACUCUCGUUGUAACC